RNAcentral lists this ribosomal RNA (403 nucleotides) under uncultured bacterium. Its description in RNAcentral is "partial 16S ribosomal RNA". It matches the Rfam family "Bacterial small subunit ribosomal RNA", at positions 30 to 526 of the family's 1533-position model. The record is from RNAcentral.
AUUGAACGCUGGCGGCAGGCCUAACACAUGCAAGUCGAGCGAGCGGCGGACGGGUGAGUAAUGUAUGUGGACUGCCCGAGAGAGGGGGAUAACUACUGUAAACGGUGGCUAAUACCGCAAACUGUCGUAUAACCCAUAUGGGAGUAGCUAGUAGGUGAGGUAAUGGCUUACCUAGGCGACGAUCCCUAGCUGGUCUGAGAGGAUGAUCAGCCACCCUGGGACUGAUACACGGCCCAGACUCCUACGGAGGCAGCAGUGGGUAAUAUUGCACAAUGAGCGCAAGCCUGAUGCAGCCAUGCCGCGUGUAUGAAGAAGGCCCUAGGGUUGUAGAGUACUUUCAGUCGGGAGGCGUUACCGACAGAAGAAGCACCGGCUAACUCCGUGCCAGCAGCCGCGGUAAUUC